AUGAACGCUGGCGGCGUGCCUCAUCCAUGCAAGUCGCGCGCACAGACGAGGAGCUUGCUCCUUUGACGUUAGCGGCGGACGGGUGAGUAACACGUAGGUAACCUACCUAUAAGACUGGGAUAACUUCGGGAAACCGGAGCUAAUACCGGAUAAUAUUUCGAACCGCAUGGUUCGAUAGUGAAAGAUGGCUUUGCUAUCACUUAUAGAUGGACCUGCGCCGUAUUAGCUAGUUGGUAAGGUAACGGCUUACCAAGGCAACGAUACGUAGCCGACCUGAGAGGGUGAUCGGCCACACUGGAACUGAGACACGGUCCAGACUCCUACGGGAGGCAGCAGUAGGGAAUCUUCCGCAAUGGGCGAAAGCCUGACGGAGCAACGCCGCGUGAGUGAUGAAGGUCUUCGGAUCGUAAAACUCUGUUAUUAGGGAAGAACAAACGUGUAAGUAACUGUGCACGUCUUGACGGUACCUAAUCAGAAAGCCACGGCUAACUACGUG
Molecule: ribosomal RNA, 496 nt
Filed under: uncultured bacterium
Lineage: Bacteria
Description: partial 16S ribosomal RNA
Rfam family: Bacterial small subunit ribosomal RNA
Source: RNAcentral